RNAcentral lists this ribosomal RNA (261 nucleotides) under uncultured prokaryote. RNAcentral's name for it is "partial 16S ribosomal RNA". It matches the Rfam family "Bacterial small subunit ribosomal RNA", at positions 524 to 784 of the family's 1533-position model. The record is from RNAcentral.
UACGGAGGAUCCAAGCGUUAUCCGGAUUUAUUGGGUUUAAAGGGUGCGUAGGCGGCCUUGUAAGUCAGCGGUGAAAUUUUGCAGCUUAACUGUAACAGUGCCGUUGAUACUGGGGAGCUAGGAUUUGGUUGCUGUGGGUGGAAUGUGUGGUGUAGCGGUGAAAUGCAUAGAUAUCACGAGGAACUCCGAUUGCGCAGGCAGCUUACUAAACUACUACUGACGCUCAGGCACGAAGGCGUGGGGAUCAAACAGGAUUAGAUA